AUUAAAAUAGCUCAAGGAAGAGUUUUGCAUUGAAGCUGCAAAGGUGACUUUAAUGUCUUUUAAUA
RNAcentral lists this transfer RNA (65 nucleotides) under Tetraclita japonica (Japanese acorn barnacle). Its description in RNAcentral is "tRNA-Phe". It matches the Rfam family "tRNA". Rfam says of the family: Transfer RNA (tRNA) molecules are approximately 80 nucleotides in length. Lineage: Eukaryota; Metazoa; Arthropoda; Thecostraca; Balanomorpha; Tetraclitidae. The record is from RNAcentral.